UGGGGAAUUUUGGACAAUGGGCGAAAGCCUGAUCCAGCAAUGCCGCGUGUGUGAAGAAGGCCUUCGGGUUGUAAAGCACUUUUGUCCGGAAAGAAAUCCUUGGCUCUAAUACAGUCGGGGGAUGACGGUACCGGAAGAAUAAGCACCGGCUAACUACGUGCCAGCAGCCGCGGUAAUACGUAGGGUGCAAGCGUUAAUCGGAAUUACUGGGCGUAAAGCGUGCGCAGGCGGUUUGCUAAGACCGAUGUGAAAUCCCCGGGCUCAACCUGGGAACUGCAUUGGUGACUGGCAGGCUAGACGUAUGGCAGAGGGGGGUAGAAUUCCACGUGUAGCAGUGAAAUGCGUAGAGAUGGUGGAGGAAUACCGAUGGCGAAGGCAGCCCCCUGGGCCAAUACUGACGCUCAUGCACGAAAGCGUGGGGAGCAAAGCAGGAUUAGAUACCCUGGUAGUCCACGCCCAUAAA
RNAcentral lists this ribosomal RNA (463 nucleotides) under uncultured bacterium. RNAcentral's name for it is "partial 16S ribosomal RNA". It matches the Rfam family "Bacterial small subunit ribosomal RNA", at positions 355 to 807 of the family's 1533-position model. The record is from RNAcentral.